GACGAACGCUGGCGGCGUGCCUAAUACAUGCAAGUAGAACGCUGAAGCUUGGUGCUUGCACCGAGCGGAUGAGUUGCGAACGGGUGAGUAACGCGUAGGUAACCUGCCUGGUAGCGGGGGAUAACUAUUGGAAACGAUAGCUAAUACCGCAUAAAAUGGAUUAUCGCAUGAUAAUUCAUUGAAAGGUGCAAAUGCAUCACUACCAGAUGGACCUGCGUUGUAUUAGCUAGUUGGUGGGGUAACGGCUCACCAAGGCGACGAUACAUAGCCGACCUGAGAGGGUGAUCGGCCACACUGGGACUGAGACACGGCCCAGACUCCUACGGGAGGCAGCAGUAGGGAAUCUUCGGCAAUGGACGGAAGUCUGACCGAGCAACGCCGCGUGAGUGAAGAAGGUUUUCGGAUCGUAAAGCUCUGUUGUAAGAGAAGAACGAGUGUGAGAGUGGAAAGUUCACACUGUGACG
Molecule: ribosomal RNA, 464 nt
Filed under: Streptococcus sp. oral taxon 070
Lineage: Bacteria; Bacillati; Bacillota; Bacilli; Lactobacillales; Streptococcaceae
Description: bacterial SSU rRNA
Rfam family: Bacterial small subunit ribosomal RNA
Source: RNAcentral